CUCUAUCACCAGUCAUCAGGUCUCCUCUAUCACCAGUCAUCAGGUCUCCUCAUCAGGUCUCCCCUAAAACCAGUCAUCAGGUCUCCUCAUCAGGUCUCCUCAUCAGGUCUCCCCUAACACCAGUCAUCAGGUCUCCUCAUCAGGUCUCCUCAUCAGGUCUCCCCUAACACCAGUCAUCAGGUCUCCUCAUCAGGUCUCCUCAUCAGGUCUCCCCUAACACCAGUCAUCAGGUCUCCCCUAACACCAGUC
Molecule: long non-coding RNA, 249 nt
Organism: Oncorhynchus keta (chum salmon)
Lineage: Eukaryota; Metazoa; Chordata; Actinopteri; Salmoniformes; Salmonidae
Exons: 6
Source: RefSeq, a predicted model, not a curated record